AGGAAAUGUAAUGUGCACUUUUUGGCCCCGGUCGCGGGAGCCGCUUUGGGCUUUCUGCGCAUGUGCGCGGUGUGGCUCGAGGUUUGUUUUUCUCCGGUGCAGCCUGGUAGGGAGGGCUCCCGGCAUCUCCCUGCGUCGGGGCAGAGGAUGCCGAGGGUAGAGUACCGGAGGGCUGGAGCGAGGGUGGACUGGAGGUGCCGCUUGUCCUGGAGGUGGGAGAGAGGGAGCGGCUUUGCCGCCUGGCCUGCGUCCUAAUCCUGCCCUGGUUCUUCUGCUCCCGAAGGGAACGCAGGUCCCGCGCCUGUGACAAGUAAGGUUGGAUUUUCUCUCCCCUGAGGUGAAGGAUGCCCGGAGGCCUCGGCAGGACCGCGCGGAAACGGGCCUUCUGCCCAAAAGAUGCUGCUUCUCUCCUUAUUCUUUCCCCUCAGAAUCUCGCUGUCUCCUUCCAACCACCUGUGGUCGGCAUCCCCGCGUUGUCACUGCGACGCAGAGGCGAGCGAGGGGGCGGGAAGCACCCGCGGGGCGGGGAGGGACCCUGCGGGCGCGGACUCCACACCAAGCCUCUGCUCAGCGUCACCCCGCUUGCUGUGUCCUCGCAGGUCGCAGCUUCAUGGCCUGAUGCCGUCAGGAAGUAUUUUGAAGUCAUCGUGGCUGUGGAUUGGGGGAUUUCUUGUUUCCACUGACCUGUGAGGCCGCGCACGUGGAGGGAGGCACCCCGGGUCCUCCGGCACUGUCCGGCCUCGCCUGUGUCCCUAGUAGCAGUGGGCAUUUCCAGACGGUGCAGCUUGUGGCUAAAGUGACAGGAAGAUGUAGGAGCUUUCAGUCUUGGAUGAGGAUUCGAACUGAAAGGGUUAGGCCCAGCUGUCUUGGAGCAAAACAUCUGUUGUGGGGUGAGAAGGGAAAGGGGGGGUGAGGGUGCAGGGGCCCUCCUAGGAGGACAUCGGACCUGUUGGGCCGAGACCUCAUUAGAGAUCUAGAGCACGGAUGGGAGGAGCAGAGGCUCGAUUUGUGUCCUGUCCAGACUCCCACAGGCUGGGUGAUGGUGGGAGAUUUGUGCCCAUUCAGAUGUGGCGGCAGAGGAGGGCAAGGCCGAAGGAGCAGACAGCACCGCUUCUUGGGGAGUUGUGAAGGCAUCAUGCGGAGGGCCGAGCUUAGCAGCCAAGUGGAGGACAGCAACCUCCAUGCCUGGAUUCGUUACUCGCUCGUUCUAGAUGUUGAGCUGCUGGCAUAUUGCAGCACAACUAGAGAUGUACGGAUGCCCCCAUCUUGAUCUUACAGAAUCAGAGGUGCAGCCGCAAGAAAGGUCUCUACACCCUCUCGGUUUUCUCUGCUCUGCCAACACUAGUGGAAUAUGAUCACAUCCCAGGGAUCAGUGUCAUUUAGGGAUGUGACUAUGGGCUUCACUCAAGAGGAGUGGCAGCAUCUGGACCCUGCUCAGAGGACCCUGUACAGGAAUGUGAUGCUGGAGAACUACAGCCACCUUGUCUCAGUAGGUAGGUAGGAAUUGUUUCCCAUGUAGAAGGCCA
This 1526-nucleotide long non-coding RNA is filed under the name Pan troglodytes (chimpanzee). RNAcentral's name for it is "long non-coding RNA NONPTRT002142". Lineage: Eukaryota; Metazoa; Chordata; Mammalia; Primates; Hominidae. The record is from RNAcentral.